Non-coding RNA from Jatropha curcas, 83 nucleotides. The record is from Rfam. NCBI's taxonomy places the organism in Eukaryota, Viridiplantae, Streptophyta, Magnoliopsida, Malpighiales, Euphorbiaceae.
UGGAACAGUGAUGAGCCUACAGACCUGUAAUGAUUUGCGAUGAUGAUCGCAACUCUUUAGAACAUCUAAGGGACUGAGUUCUC